RNAcentral lists this ribosomal RNA (465 nucleotides) under uncultured bacterium. RNAcentral describes it as "partial 16S ribosomal RNA". It matches the Rfam family "Bacterial small subunit ribosomal RNA", at positions 28 to 507 of the family's 1533-position model. The record is from RNAcentral.
GACGAACGCUGGCGGCGUGCUUAACACAUGCAAGUCGAACGGAAAGGCCCUGCUUGCAGGGUACUCGAGUGGCGAACGGGUGAGUAACACGUGGGUGAUCUGCCCUGCACUUCGGGAUAAGCCUGGGAAACUGGGUCUAAUACCGGAUAGGAGCCAUUUUUAGUGUGAUGGUUGGAAAGUUUUUUGGGUGUGGGAUGAGCUCGCGGCCUAUCAGCUUGUUGGUGGGGUAAUGGCCUACCAAGGCGGCGACGGGUAGCCGGCCUGAGAGGGUGGACGGCCACAUUGGGACUGAGAUACGGCCCAGACUCCUACGGGAGGCAGCGGUGGGGAAUAUUGCACAAUGGGCGCAAGCCUGAUGCAGCGACGCCGCGUGGGGGAUGACGGCCUUCGGGUUGUAAACUCCUUUCGCUAGGGACGAAGCUUUUUGUGACGGUACCUAGAUAAGAAGCACCGGCUAACUACGUG